Molecule: ribosomal RNA, 478 nt
Filed under: uncultured bacterium
Lineage: Bacteria
Description: partial 16S ribosomal RNA
Rfam family: Bacterial small subunit ribosomal RNA
Source: RNAcentral
GAUGAACGCUAGCGGCAGGCUUAACACAUGCAAGUCGAGGGGUAUUUAUCUUCGGAUAGAGAGACCGGCGCACGGGUGCGUAACGCGUAUGCAAUCUACCUUUUACCGAGGGAUAGCCCAGAGAAAUUUGGAUUAAUACCUCAUAGUAUAUAGACUCUGCAUCGAGAUUAUAUUAAAAUCACAACGGUAAAAGAUGAGCAUGCGUCCCAUUAGCUAGUUGGUAAGGUAACGGCUUACCAAGGCUACGAUGGGUAGGCGUCCUGAGAGGGAGAUCCCCCACACUGGUACUGAGACACGGACCAGACUCCUACGGGAGGCAGCAGUGAGGAAUAUUCGACAAUGGGCGAAAGCCUGAUCCAGCCAUGCCGCGUGCAGGAUGACGGUCCUAUGGAUUGUAAACUGCUUUUAUACGAGAAGACACACUGCUACGUGUAGCAGCUUGACGGUAUCGUAAGAAUAAGGAUCGGCUAACUCCGUG